This 396-nucleotide ribosomal RNA is filed under the name Ixodes rugicollis. Its description in RNAcentral is "partial large subunit ribosomal RNA". The stretch from base 86 to 396 matches the Rfam family "Bacterial large subunit ribosomal RNA", at positions 2048 to 2605 of the family's 2925-position model. The record is from RNAcentral. Lineage: Eukaryota; Metazoa; Arthropoda; Arachnida; Ixodida; Ixodidae.
AGGUAUUGAAAUAAGGCUUUAAUGGGUGCUAAGAGAAUGGUUUAACAAUUAUUAGCUUUCUUUAAUUAAUAAAUUGAAUUUAAUUUUUUUGUGAAGAAGCGAAAAUGAAAAUUAGGGACAAGAAGACCCUAUGAAUUUUAUAUUUUCCUUAAAAGAAAUUUUUUAAGGAAAAUAUUAGUUGGGGUGACUAAUAAAGAAUGUGUAUCUUUUUAAAAUUUUAAUUUGAUCCGUUUUUAGCGAUUAAAUGAGAAAAAUACUCUAGGGAUAACAGCGUAAUAAUUUUGGAUAGUUCAUAUAGAUAAAAUAGUUUGCGACCUCGAUGUUGGAUUAGGAUUCUUAUUUAGUGAAGAAGCUAAAAAGAAGAAGUUUGUUCAACUUUUAAAUUCCUACUUGAUC